RNAcentral lists this ribosomal RNA (253 nucleotides) under uncultured bacterium. RNAcentral describes it as "partial 16S ribosomal RNA". It matches the Rfam family "Bacterial small subunit ribosomal RNA", at positions 524 to 776 of the family's 1533-position model. The record is from RNAcentral.
UACAGAGGUCCCAAGCGUUGUUCGGAUUCACUGGGCGUAAAGGGUGCGUAGGCGGUCGGGUAAGUCUGAUGUGAAAUCUCACAGCUUAACUGUGAAACCGCAUUGGAUACUAUCCGGCUCGAGGAAUGGAGGGGAGACUGGAAUACUUGGUGUAGCAGUGAAAUGCGUAGAUAUCAAGAGGAACACCUGUGGCGAAAGCGGCGCACUGGACCACAACUGACGCUGAGGCGAGAAAGCUAGGGGAGCAGACAGG